Molecule: ribosomal RNA, 423 nt
Filed under: uncultured bacterium
Lineage: Bacteria
Description: partial 16S ribosomal RNA
Rfam family: Bacterial small subunit ribosomal RNA
Source: RNAcentral
AAUCUUCCACAAUGGACGGAAGUCUGAUGGAGCAACGCCGCGUGAGCGAAGAAGGUUUUCGGUGCGUAAAGCUCUGUUGUAAGGGAAGAACACGUACGGGAGUCACUGCCCGUACCUUGACGGUACCUUAUCAGAAAGCCACGGCUAACUACGCGCCAGCAGCCGCGGUAAUACGUAGGUGGCAAGCGUUGGCCGGAAUUAUUUGGCGUAAAGCGCGCGCAGGCGGUGCUUUAAGUCUGAUGAGAAAGCCCACGGCUCAACCGUGGAGGGUCAUUGGAAACUGGAGGACUUGAGUACAGAAGAGGAAAGCGGAAUUCCACGUGUAGCGGUGAAAUGCGUAGAGAUGUGGAGGAACACCAGUGGCGAAGGCGGCUUUCUGGUCUGUAACUGACGCUGAGGCGCGAAAGCGUGGGGAGCAAACAG